CCAAGAUUCCCUCUUCAGGUCACAGAUCCUGGUCUCAGCAGCAAUUCUGUAGUUUUUGGCCAGAGCAGGGGUGAAGCCAAGGGACCAAGCAGUUCCAGCCUUCUGAGUAGCUGAGAUUGCAGGCUCAACCCACUUUACGUACGAAGUAACGGGAGAGUGGAGAAGUGAGGCAGCUCACCAUCUGCACUGGCUGGCUUGCUCCGUGCCUCUGGCUUCCCCGUGCUCCUGUGCUGAGCCAUCUUUGUGUGUCGCCAGGCUGGAGCACCCUCUCCGUGUGUUUGUCUUCAAUUCUUCUGAGAGGAAGAACCAGCGUGUAGAGAUCAAGUUCAGACCAGGCCUGGUGCAGACUGGGCUGGCUCCUCACCAAGACACUGGCGACCUUUUAGCCAGCAUGAGCUUAGAAAAGGCUUCCUGCCAUGACUGGUCUGGACCUCCUGCCUGGACACCUUCCAUCAGGAACUUGAAGAGCUGGAGCCCUGGCCCCCCUGCGAGGAUGAUGGCUUUCCAGUGGCAACAUCAUGGAGACUUGUCCAAGAAGGAAGGAGCACCCACUGACUGCAUGCUUGACCCCCCAGCAGUUAAGGGCAGCAGUGGCCUGGGGCUGGCUGGUUUGCCUUGUCCUGGGCAUCCACGUGCAGGCUGCUCUUUAGCAAGCAAGUUCCUGCUAAAGCUCGGCGUGAUGCCACCACCAGCCCAGGCACAGGGAAGAGAUAGAUCUUGGGCAGUUGCAUAACUGCCCUGAGGUUUCCUCAUCUGUUAAGUGGGGAUGGUAAACUGUCUAUUUACAGGAGUGUCGUGGGGAUUAAGGAGAUGGUGCUUAUAUAAAUACUUGGCCAAGGAGCCUGAUAACUACUCCAAAAGUGUCUAAAAAGAAGCUGCCCUGUGAUAGGGAAGCUCACCAGCAAACUAAGGAGCACCAGGAGAGAUCAGAGAGGAGUCAGCCCUCCACAGCCCUGGGUUCUGCAACCACUACUGACUGAAAAUGCACACAGAAAAUUAGGUCUGCAACGUUGUCGGUAUUCCCCAAACAAUGCCGUACAGUAACUAUUGACACAGCAUUUACAUCACAUUAGGCAUGGUGGGCUAUCUAGAGAUGAUAUAAAGUGUGAGAGAAGAUAUAUGUAGAUUAUAUGCAAAUGCUCCAUUUUAUAUAGGCACUUGUGGUACUCUGGGUUUGGGUAUCCUUGGGGUCCUGGAAACAGUCCCCUUCCAAUGAGCUAACAAAGCCACUCAGAGGGGGAGGUCAGUGAAGGUCUUGAAGAGGAGAUCAAGAAAAUGCAGGCAAAUAAGCAAAUGGAGCGUAAGGAACAUGUUUGGGCUGCAGAAUUUCAAUGACAUUGAGAGAUGGCCCUUCCAGGGAGUGGAGCUGACCUCCUCUGCCCCUGAGCGCGCGCUUAGAGCCACAGAGUGGAGGGGAGAAAUCGGUGGUGGAGAAAGCUUGCAGACAUCAUUUUACCCAAGGGACGGGGUAAACUGACUCAGCAGUGAUAACCUGUGCAGACAUUGUACAGGCUCUGAUCUGGGGAGACAGAAGCCCCUCACCUUCCUGUUACUCUUACCAAAAAGGCAGAAUUGCAGUCUGAUCAUGAGAGAACAUCAGAAAAAUCCAUGCUGAGGACACUCUACAAAAUGCCUCAGCAGGACCUUUCCAAGGGGUUGAGGUCAUGGUCAUGGAAAACUAGGAGGGACCGAGGAAGCCUCUUGGGUGAGAGGAGGCCCUAUGGGUGGACACAUAACAGGUCCUGGGCUGACCCUGGAAAUGGAAAGUGCACUGGUGGGAUGCUGGUGGAGGCUGGGUAAAGCCUGUGGCUUGGUUGGUAGUCUUGUACAAUGUUCACUACUUAGUUUGACAAAUGUGCAUGAUUAUGAAAGAUGCUAACUGCGGGGAACCUGGGUGAAGGGUACAUGGGACUCUAUUUUUGCA
Molecule: long non-coding RNA, 1924 nt
Organism: Marmota monax (woodchuck)
Lineage: Eukaryota; Metazoa; Chordata; Mammalia; Rodentia; Sciuridae
Exons: 4
Source: RefSeq, a predicted model, not a curated record